This 1473-nucleotide ribosomal RNA is filed under the name human gut metagenome. RNAcentral's name for it is "bacterial LSU rRNA". It matches the Rfam family "Bacterial large subunit ribosomal RNA", at positions 829 to 2317 of the family's 2925-position model. The record is from RNAcentral.
CCAAUCGAACCCGGAGAUAGCUGGUUCUCCUCGAAAUAGCUUUAGGGCUAGCCUCAUGGAUCAUUGGUGGGGGUAGAGCACUGAAUGUGCGCGGGGGCCACAAAGCCUACCAAACGCUAUCAAACUUCGAAUACCAUACAAUGCAGACCAUGGGAGUCAGUCCGCGAGAGAUAAGUUCCGCGGGCAAAAGGGGAACACCCCAGAUCAACCGCUAAGGUCCCCAAGUUCACGUUAAGUGGAGAAGGAUGUGGAAUUGCACAGACAACCAGGAUGUUGGCUCAGAAGCAGCCACACAUUUAAAGAGUGCGUAAUAGCUCACUGGUCGAGUGAUUGUGCGCCGAAGAUGUCCGGGGCUAAACGUGACACCGAAGCGAUGGGUGCAUCUGAAGAAGAUGCGCGGUAGAGGAGCAAUGUGCAGAGGCAGAAGCCGUAUCGAGAGGCACGGUGGACACUGCACAAGAGAGAAUGCCGGUAUGAGUAGCGAGAGGCAUGCGAGAAACAUGCCCGUCGAAAGCCCAAGGUUUCCUGGGGAAGGUUCAUCCGCCCAGGGUAAGUCGGGGCCUAAGCCGAGGACGGAAGUCGUAGGCGAUGGACAGCAGGUGUAGAUUCCUGCACUACCGAUGGAAUGAAGCAGUGACACAGAAGGAUAACUCGAGCAGGGUGAUGGUCAACCCUGUGCAAGCAUCAAGGUUGGGUUGUAGUGAAGUACGCAACCCUAUAAGCUGAGAUGUGAUGCGGACCGAAAUUUCAGUAGGGAAGCGAGUGAGUUCACGCUGGCGAGAAAAGCUGCUAGUACAUCCAAAGGUACCCGUACCGGAAACCGACGCAGGUGGGCGAGGAGAGAAUCCUGAGACGAACGGGAGAACCCUUGUUAAGGAACUCGGCAAAAUGACCCCGUAACUUCGGGAGAAGGGGUGCCUCGAAAGAGGCCGCAGAGAAUAGUCACAAGCGACUGUUUAGCAAAAACACAGGUAUCUGCGAAAGCGAGAGCUGACGUAUAGGUGCUGACGCCUGCCCGGUGCUGGAAGGUUAAGGGGAAGUGUUAGGGGAAACCCGAAGCAGAGAACCGAAGCCCCAGUAAACGGCGGCCGUAACAAUAACGGUCCUAAGGUAGCGAAAUUCCUUGUCGGGUAAGUUCCGACCCGCACGAAUGGUGUAACGACUUGUGAGCUGUCUCAACAGGGGGCCCGGUGAAAUUGAAGUAUGGGUGAAGAUGCCCAUUACCCGCGACUGGACGGAAAGACCCCGUAGAGCUUUACUGCAGCCUGAUAUUGAGUUUCGGUAACUGAUGCACAGGAUAGGUGGGAGUCUGAGAGACAUGGGUUUCGGCUCAUGUGGAGACGGUGUUGGGAUACCACUCUUCGGUUACUGAAAUUCUAACAUAGCUCUGUGAAACCAGAGGAUGGACAGUGUCAGGUGGACAGUUUGACUGGGGCGGUCGCCUCCGAAAGAGUAACGGAGGCGCCCAAAGGU